Hemicordylus capensis (graceful crag lizard) is the source of this 1461-nucleotide non-coding RNA. NCBI's taxonomy places the organism in Eukaryota, Metazoa, Chordata, Lepidosauria, Squamata, Cordylidae. The record is from the annotation of a RefSeq genome assembly.
GACAGCCUGACUGGCAUGCAGAAAUUUGCAACCCCCACCGCUCCGGCCGUCUUCCCAUUGUCCCCCUGUUGUCAAGAUACUGCUGACGUCACCUUGGCUUGUUUGAUCACGGGCUACUUCCCUGAACCAGUCCAAGUGCAGUGGAACUCAGGCGCCAUCACUUCUGGCUUCAAGACCUUCCCCUCUAUACAGCAGUCCAGCGGCCAUCACACCCUCAGCAGCCAGCUCACCAUCUCGGACACCCGCUGGAAAUCUGAUAAGUUCCAGUGUAAUGUUGUACACACGGCUACCAGCUCCAGAAUCGAUAAAGACUUUGAACCCUGCCAAAGCAAGGAUCCUGUGGCGCCAGUGGUCCGCAUGCUCCAGUCCUCCUGUACCACGCAUCCUGGUAACAUGGAACUGCUGUGCAUGAUCUCAAACUUCUACCCUAAAGAAUUUACGGUCAGUUGGCUGCGAGAUGGCGAAGUCCUCCCGGACAUGUCCGCUGAGUCGCUCUGGAAAGAUGCAAACAGCUACACCUUCAGCGCCACCAGUUCAACUAAUGUUACCCAACAAGACUGGUUGAAUUCAGAGACCUACAGCUGCCAGGUGUCCCAUGCACAGACCAACAGCGUCAUGAAAGCUCAAGUAAAGAAAUGCGGAGGUGAUUAUGACAGCACACAGAUUAAAGUCUAUAUUGAAAGCCCAAAUCCCUACGACUUGCAUGUGGAAAAGCGACCCAAACUCACCUGCAAAGUGUUCAGCAUGAACAGUGAUGAGACACUGGCAGUGACCUGGUCACGGGAGAAAUCAGGAGGCUUGAAUCCUGAGCCACUUGAUAUCAGUGAACAAUCCAAUGGCACCUUCACCGCAAUCAGCAUUGUGCAAAUUUCUGAAAGCGAUUGGUUGGCGGAGGAGAAAUUUUCCUGCAGAGUGCAACAUCAAGAAUUGCCUGGUGGUUCCAUCACUGUGGAUGGUUUCUGGAAGAAAGUCCCUGUCAUCGCCCCCGCUGUGUACCUCUUCCACCCACACUCUGACGAGCUCAACUCGGACAGCCAAGACUUGUCCAUCACUGCCCUGAUCAAAGGGUUCAAGCCCAGCGACAUCUUCGUGAAAUGGCUUGAGGGUAGUAACCCCUUGCCCGAAGACAACUAUAUCAACACCCCAGUCACCAGCGAUGGCGGCGGUACCUUCUUCCUCUACAGCAAGUUGAAGGUCACCAAGGCUGACUGGAACAAUGGCAAUUCCUACACCUGCAUGGUUGUCCAUGAAGGCCUCGCCAUUAAGUUCAUCCAGAAGUCCAUUCGGAAAAAUCCUGGUAAAUAAUGAAGACAACUCACAAUCCAGCCUUGUUUCCCCUUUGACAGAAGUUGUCAAACUUCUAGUGUUGUCAAACCCAAGCCAUGUAAAUACUUUGUGAGCAUUUGCGUGUGGUCAGUGGCUGAAUAAAAGGAAACCCAUAUGAGGCCUCCAACACAUAAA